Molecule: ribosomal RNA, 492 nt
Filed under: uncultured bacterium
Lineage: Bacteria
Description: partial 16S ribosomal RNA
Rfam family: Bacterial small subunit ribosomal RNA
Source: RNAcentral
AGUGAACGCUGGCGGUAGGCCUAACACAUGCAAGUCGAACGGCAGCACAGUAAGAGCUUGCUCUUACGGGUGGCGAGUGGCGGACGGGUGAGGAAUACAUCGGAAUCUACUUUUUCGUGGGGGAUAACGUAGGGAAACUUACGCUAAUACCGCAUACGACCUACGGGUGAAAGCAGGGGAUCUUCGCACCUUGCGCGAUUGAAUGAGCCGAUGUCGGAUUAGCUAGUUGGCGGGGUAAAGGCCCACCAAGGCGACGAUCCGUAGCUGGUCUGAGAGGAUGAUCAGCCACACUGGAACUGAGACACGGUCCAGACUCCUACGGGAGGCAGCAGUGGGGAAUAUUGGACAAAGGGCGCAAGCCUGAUCCAGCCAUACCGCGUGGGUGAAGAAGGCCUUCGGGUUGUAAAGCCCUUUUGUUGGGAAAGAAAAGCAGCAGGUUAAUACCCCGCUGUUCUGACGGUACCCAAAGAAUAAGCACCGGCUAACUUCGUG